This 685-nucleotide ribosomal RNA is filed under the name Triticum aestivum (bread wheat). RNAcentral describes it as "partial small subunit ribosomal RNA". The record is from RNAcentral. Lineage: Eukaryota; Viridiplantae; Streptophyta; Magnoliopsida; Poales; Poaceae.
CUUAGAAGUCGAACACCGAAUCCAUCGACGAGGGCGGCCGGUCCAUAGUCCAUACGGAAGAAGAGCAAGAGCAGGUCAGCAGCACAAGCAGCAGCAAGCAAGAAGAGCGGACAGAAAAUAAGCCAUAGAUCAGAUCCAAAUCCAAGCAUUUCUUAGAUGGCCGGCGCGGGCGACCACCAUGAGUGCUUAAUCAAGAUCCACACAACACAAUUAAGCUACACAGAUAACCAGGCCCGAACACACGCCCGUUCUUUCUACAACCGCCACACGCACAACGAGACGCAUUAUUCAGCAGUCCAGUAUAGCUAGCUGCGUAGGCUCAAACUGACCAUCUCGUCGGACGCGCGCGCGCAGCCAUGCUCGAUCGCUACGAGCCGCCGCCGUUGCCGGUGUCGUCGUUUCCUCCCCCGCCGCCGCUGCCGCCGCUGCCGGAGGUCGCGGGGGUGCCGCCGCCGCCGGCACCGGUCAAGUCGGCGAUGAUCGUCUUGAUGAUGCUGCCCCGCUUGGGGUUCCGGUUCCCGUCGGGCUUCCUCCUCUGGCCCUGGCCGUCCAUGGCGUCGCGCGCGUGCAAGCAAGCCCCGGCAGGCCGGCCCAGAGAAGCGUAGGCGAGUGGACGAGUGUGGUGGGUGCGUGCGCGUGAGCUAGAGUGGGAGGCCGCGGCCACGGGGAGGUGGCUUUGUAGCGG